RNAcentral lists this ribosomal RNA (573 nucleotides) under uncultured bacterium. Its description in RNAcentral is "bacterial SSU rRNA". It matches the Rfam family "Bacterial small subunit ribosomal RNA", at positions 639 to 1221 of the family's 1533-position model. The record is from RNAcentral.
AGCUCGAGGGGCAAAGAGGAAGCUGGAACGAACGGUGUAGCAGUGAAAUGCGUUGAUAUCGUUUGGAACACCGAUAGCGAAGGCAGGCUUCUGGGUGCCAUCUGACGCUUCUAGGACGAAAGCGUGGGUAGCGAAUGGGAUUAGAUACCCCAGGUAGUCCACGCUGUAAACGAUGAUGACUAGGCAUGGGGAAGUAUCGACCCUUUUCCGUGCCGUAGCUAACGCGUUAAGUCAUCCGCCUGGGGAGUACGGGUCGCAAGACUAAAACUCAGAGGAAUUGAGCGGGGAUCCGCACAAGCGGUGGAGCAUGUGGUUUAAUUCGACGAUAAGCGAGGAACCUUACCUGGGCUUGACAUUGCACUGCAAGCGCUAGAAAUAGCGUCGCCUUCGAGGGUGUGCAACAGGUGCUGCACGGUUGUCGUCAGCUCGUGUCGUGAGAUGUUGCCUUAAGUGGUAGAACGAGCGCAACCCUUGUCCUGUGUUACUGUGUCACAGGAGACUGCCAGGGUUUAACCUGGAGGAAGGUGGGGAUGACGUCAAAUCAGCGUGGCUCUUACGUCCAGGGCUACACAC